This 570-nucleotide ribosomal RNA is filed under the name uncultured bacterium. RNAcentral's name for it is "bacterial SSU rRNA". It matches the Rfam family "Bacterial small subunit ribosomal RNA", at positions 28 to 600 of the family's 1533-position model. The record is from RNAcentral.
GAUGACCUUUGGCGGCGUGCUUAACACAUGCAAGUCGAACGAAGCAGUUAAGAAGAUUCUUCGGAUGAUUCUUGACUGACUGAGCGGCGGACGGGUGAGUAACGCGUGGGUGACCAGCCCCAUACCGGGGGAUAACAGCUGGAAACGGCUGCUAAUACCGCAUAAGCGCACAGAGCUGCGUGGCUCGGUGUGAAAAACUCCGGUGGUAUGGGAUGGGCCCGCGUCUGAUUAGGCAGUUGGCGGGGUAACGGCCCACCAAACCGACGAUCAGUAGCCGGCCUGAGAGGGCGACCGGCCACAUUGGGACUGAGACACGGCCCAAACUCCUACGGGAGGCAGCGGUGGGGAAUAUUGCACAGUGGGGGAAACCCUGAUGCAGCGACGCCGCGUGAGCGAAGAAGUAUUUCGGUAUGUAAAGCUCUAUCAGCAGGGAAGAUAAUGACGGUACCUGACUAAGAAGCCCCGGCUAACUACGUGCCAGCAGCCGCGGUAAUACGUAGGGGGCAAGCGUUAUCCGGAUUUACUGGGUGUAGGGGGAGCGUAGACGGCAAGGCAAGUCUGAUGUGAAAA